AACGAACGCUGGCGGCAUGCCUAGCACAUGCAAGUCGAACGAGACCUUCGGGUCUAGUGGCGCACGGGUGCGUCACGCGUGGGAACCUGCCCUUAGGUUCGGAAUAACUCCCCGAAAGGGGUGCUAAUACCGGAUAAUGUCUUCGGCCCAAAGAUUUAUCGCCUUUGGAUGGGCCCGCGUUGGAUUAGCUAGUUGGUAGGGUAAAAGCCUACCAAGGCGACGAUCCAUAGCUGGUCUGAGAGGAUGAUCAGCCACACUGGGACUGAGACACGGCCCAGACUCCUACGGGAGGCAGCAGUGGGGAAUAUUGGACAAUGGGCGAAAGCCUGAUCCAGCAAUGACGCGUGAGUGAUGAAGGCCUUAGGGUUGUAAAGCUCUUUUACCCGGGAUGAUAAUGACAGUACCGGGAGAAUAAGCUCCGGCUAACUCCGUG
This 433-nucleotide ribosomal RNA is filed under the name uncultured bacterium. RNAcentral's name for it is "partial 16S ribosomal RNA". It matches the Rfam family "Bacterial small subunit ribosomal RNA", at positions 29 to 507 of the family's 1533-position model. The record is from RNAcentral.